GGUUAAGCGACUAAGCGUACACGGUGGAUGCCUUGGCAGUCAGAGGCGAUGAAGGACGUGCUAAUCUGCGAUAAGCGUCGGUAAGGUGAUAUGAACCGUUAUAACCGGCGAUUUCCGAAUGGGGAAACCCAGUGUGAUUCGUCACACUAUCAUUAACUGAAUCCAUAGGUUAAUGAGGCGAACCGGGGGAACUGAAACAUCUAAGUACCCCGAGGAAAAGAAAUCAACCGAGAUUCCCCCAGUAGCGGCGAGCGAACGGGGAGCAGCCCAGAGCCUGAAUCAGUGUGUGUGUUAGUGGAAGCGUCUGGAAAGGCGUGCGAUACAGGGUGACAGCCCCGUACACAAAAAUGCACAUACUGUGAGCUCGAUGAGUAGGGCGGGACACGUGGUAUCCUGUCUGAAUAUGGGGGGACCAUCCUCCAAGGCUAAAUACUCCUGACUGACCGAUAGUGAACCAGUACCGUGAGGGAAAGGCGAAAAGAACCCCGGCGAGGGGAGUGAAAAAGAACCUGAAACCGUGUACGUACAAGCAGUGGGAGCACGCUUAGGCGUGUGACUGCGUACCUUUUGUAUAAUGGGUCAGCGACUUAUAUUCUGUAGCAAGGUUAACCGAAUAGGGGAGCCGAAGGGAAACCGAGUCUUAACUGGGCGUUAAGUUGCAGGGUAUAGACCCGAAACCCGGUGAUCUAGCCAUGGGCAGGUUGAAGGUUGGGUAACACUAACUGGAGGACCGAACCGACUAAUGUUGAAAAAUUAGCGGAUGACUUGUGGCUGGGGGUGAAAGGCCAAUCAAACCGGGAGAUAGCUGGUUCUCCCCGAAAGCUAUUUAGGUAGCGCCUCGUGAAUUCAUCUCCGGGGGUAGAGCACUGUUUCGGCAAGGGGGUCAUCCCGACUUACCAACCCGAUGCAAACUGCGAAUACCGGAGAAUGUUAUCACGGGAGACACACGGCGGGUGCUAACGUCCGUCGUGAAGAGGGAAACAACCCAGACCGCCAGCUAAGGUCCCAAAGUCAUGGUUAAGUGGGAAACGAUGUGGGAAGGCCCAGACAGCCAGGAUGUUGGCUUAGAAGCAGCCAUCAUUUAAAGAAAGCGUAAUAGCUCACUGGUCGAGUCGGCCUGCGCGGAAGAUGUAACGGGGCUAAACCAUGCACCGAAGCUGCGGCAGCGACGCUUAUGCGUUGUUGGGUAGGGGAGCGUUCUGUAAGCCUGUGAAGGUGUGCUGUGAGGUAUGCUGGAGGUAUCAGAAGUGCGAAUGCUGACAUAAGUAACGAUAAAGCGGGUGAAAAGCCCGCUCGCCGGAAGACCAAGGGUUCCUGUCCAACGUUAAUCGGGGCAGGGUGAGUCGACCCCUAAGGCGAGGCCGAAAGGCGUAGUCGAUGGGAAACAGGUUAAUAUUCCUGUACUUGGUGUUACUGCGAAGGGGGGACGGAGAAGGCUAUGUUGGCCGGGCGACGGUUGUCCCGGUUUAAGCGUGUAGGCUGGUUUUCCAGGCAAAUCCGGAAAAUCAAGGCCGAGGCGUGAUGACGAGGCACUACGGUGCUGAAGCAACAAAUGCCCUGCUUCCAGGAAAAGCCUCUAAGCAUCAGGUAACAUCAAAUCGUACCCCAAACCGACACAGGUGGUCAGGUAGAGAAUACCAAGGCGCUUGAGAGAACUCGGGUGAAGGAACUAGGCAAAAUGGUGCCGUAACUUCGGGAGAAGGCACGCUGAUACGUAGGUGAAGCGACUUGCUCGUGGAGCUGAAAUCAGUCGAAGAUACCAGCUGGCUGCAACUGUUUAUUAAAAACACAGCACUGUGCAAACACGAAAGUGGACGUAUACGGUGUGACGCCUGCCCGGUGCCGGAAGGUUAAUUGAUGGGGUUAGCGCAAGCGAAGCUCUUGAUCGAAGCCCCGGUAAACGGCGGCCGUAACUAUAACGGUCCUAAGGUAGCGAAAUUCCUUGUCGGGUAAGUUCCGACCUGCACGAAUGGCGUAAUGAUGGCCAGGCUGUCUCCACCCGAGACUCAGUGAAAUUGAACUCGCUGUGAAGAUGCAGUGUACCCGCGGCAAGACGGAAAGACCCCGUGAACCUUUACUAUAGCUUGACACUGAACAUUGAGCCUUGAUGUGUAGGAUAGGUGGGAGGCUUUGAAGUGUGGACGCCAGUCUGCAUGGAGCCGACCUUGAAAUACCACCCUUUAAUGUUUGAUGUUCUAACGUGGACCCGUGAUCCGGGUUGCGGACAGUGUCUGGUGGGUAGUUUGACUGGGGCGGUCUCCUCCUAAAGAGUAACGGAGGAGCACGAAGGUUGGCUAAUCCUGGUCGGACAUCAGGAGGUUAGUGCAAUGGCAUAAGCCAGCUUGACUGCGAGCGUGACGGCGCGAGCAGGUGCGAAAGCAGGUCAUAGUGAUCCGGUGGUUCUGAAUGGAAGGGCCAUCGCUCAACGGAUAAAAGGUACUCCGGGGAUAACAGGCUGAUACCGCCCAAGAGUUCAUAUCGACGGCGGUGUUUGGCACCUCGAUGUCGGCUCAUCACAUCCUGGGGCUGAAGUAGGUCCCAAGGGUAUGGCUGUUCGCCAUUUAAAGUGGUACGCGAGCUGGGUUUAGAACGUCGUGAGACAGUUCGGUCCCUAUCUGCCGUGGGCGCUGGAGAACUGAGGGGGGCUGCUCCUAGUACGAGAGGACCGGAGUGGACGCAUCACUGGUGUUCGGGUUGUCAUGCCAAUGGCACUGCCCGGUAGCUAAAUGCGGAAGAGAUAAGUGCUGAAAGCAUCUAAGCACGAAACUUGCCCCGAGAUGAGUUCUCCCUGACCCUUUAAGGGUCCUGAAGGAACGUUGAAGACGACGACGUUGAUAGGCCGGGUGUGUAAGCGCAGCGAUGCGUUGAGCUAACCGGUACUAAUGAACCGUGAGGCUUAACCUU
Molecule: ribosomal RNA, 2904 nt
Filed under: Shigella boydii
Lineage: Bacteria; Pseudomonadati; Pseudomonadota; Gammaproteobacteria; Enterobacterales; Enterobacteriaceae
Also listed under: 2 other names
Description: 23S ribosomal RNA
Rfam family: Bacterial large subunit ribosomal RNA
Source: RNAcentral